CUCUAUCUUUCUCUUUCACAUUAUUUGGCCAAGCCCCUCUAUCGUGAGUUGUUUCUCCAUACUGAUGAUCAGACCCAGCUUCUUCUGCAUAACUUGACUCUCCUGCUCUACCACCAUGCUCGUCACCAGCCCAUCCACCCGCAUUAGGUUCUGACCACAUCCCCAUGUUAGGCCCCUCCAUACCAGCACCUGGCAUCAUUCCCAUACCAUUCAUUGGCAUUCCUCUACCAAAGAAUGCAGGAUUUACAUGCGGAGCUACUCCAGGCAUCCCAACUCCUCCAACAGGUGGAAAAGAUGACAACAUACCAGGAAAUGGUGGAGCUGGACCACCAGGAAAUCCUCCAUAACCACCCAUUCUCCCCAUAGGCCCUCCAAAAGCAGGAUCAAAGCCUUGACCCAUCAUUGUUUGAGGAUGCAUAAUAGGAGGUGCACCACCCAUACCUUGUCCAAAUCCACCUCCACCGUUACCCAUCAUACCCCUACCUGCAAUCCCACCAGGCCUGUUUCUCAUAGGACCUACAGGCCCCCGAUUUCCCAUAGCUUGAGGACCUCCUCUACCCCAAUUGCCUCUACCAUAACCCCCCCUGUUGCCAUCCCCACCACCACCGCCGCCUUGAUAAUUGCCACCAGUAGGAGUGUUGUUAUUUCCAAUUUUACCAGCAGCUUCACCAGGCCCCCGCCUUGCUUGGGGAACAGCAGUUUGAGCCACCUGCUGAUUUCGAUUCACCUGAGCCUCACCCAUCCUCUUCACAUUAUACGGUGAUGAUGCAUAAGCGACUACACAUGGUCGCCCAUUGAACAUAUGUCCAUUCAUACUUUCCUUGCAAGCUGUGGCAGCUGAGGAAUCAUGAAACUCAACCUGGCAAUAUCCUUUAGACUUCCCACUAGCUUUUUCUUCAAAAAAUUUCACCUCCUUCACGUGUCCAUACUUGCUCAGCUCAGCUUCCAGCUCAGCAUCUGUGGUCCACCAAUGCAAAUCACCAACAAAAAGAAUUGUCGCACCACCGCCGCCACCACCUCCUCCUCCACCACUAGCGACCCCAACUCCAGCAACAACAUUACCCGCCCCGUUCAUAUUAACCCCUCCUUGCCUUAUCAAAUUAUCAUUCCCCAUAUUUCCAACAUUACCCAGAUUUCCAGCAGCUACUGCAACACCACCACCAUGAGGCUGUUGAGCCAUCACCUGAUUUGGAACAUUACUAUUCACCAUCCGCUCUGCUAAAUCACCCAUCUUACUUGACGGAUGACUUAACUCAACCCUAAACCCACUACCAGCAGAAGUCCCAGACACAGCUGGACCUACGGACGCUCUAGCAGCAAUCCCAGACACUACAUCCUCCUCUUUUACAGGAUUCCUCUCCCCACCCACACCCUGAAAAUCGUCACGCCCACUCUCAUCGACCACUUGCGGUGCUGCCACCACCGGUGGUGGCGCCGGAAGGACAGGCUGCUCAGGCUUCCUCUCUACCUCCUCAUUCCUAGAUACUAAAUCCUCAUUCUUUCUAAAAGAUUGAAGAAAAUUCUCACCAACAUUAACAUCAUUGUAGAGAUCUUCGUAAUCAUCAUCCUCUUCAACCAUAAACCCAUCAUCGGCAACAGCAGAGAUCGCUUCAUUCCUGUGAAACUGCUCGAUUGGCUCUCCACCAACUCCAUCCCCACCUUCAUUAUCCUCCAUGACCUAAUCUAACAGGAUUAGGGUUACGAUCAGUUAUCACAAGCUCAAAUGAAGCUAAAUUUUUCAAAUUCUAACACUACUAGCUACGAAACGAAAAAAAUACCAAAAAAUUCAACAAAAUCAAACAAUCAACAAACAACAAAUUGAAAUUGAGGGAAUAAUCUUACCGGAGGAACAGCAAGUUGAAUUUGUCGAGCAGACUGAAUUUUUUAGGGAGAAAAGGGAAGAAACCCUAAUUCUGUGGAAAGUUUGAGUUGUGACAAGAAACUAUCAGAAAGAGGGGUAAAUAUUUGCCUUAUUUUUCCGUAUUUUAUAAUUUUAUAAGCGUUGACGAAUUGUUAUUUUGAGCUAGAUCCGCAGACCGUAGGUAACGUUUUGAUUCGAUUUUAUGUAUUAUCGAUUUUGAUUUAUUAAUUUUUUAUUUUCAAACAUGUUAAAUUUAUAUAUUUUUAAUAAGUUUUAUAUUUUUAACUGUUCGGUUUUUUUAUUUAAUCAAUAAAAAAAUGUUUAUAAAAUAAAUAUAGGAAAAAUUACAUGAAUUAAUAUAUUUUAAAAAUAAUACUGAUUUUAGCGAUACUUUUAUUUAUUAUCAUUUAUAGCAAUAUUGUGAUAAAUCUGUAACAUGUAUUAUGCAAUAUAUUUAAAUUAUAAUUGUUUUUGAAAUAUAUUGUGUUUAUUCGGUAAAAAAUAGUCAUAUCGUAUUAUAAGUGAAUCAAAAUGCGUGAUAAAUGUAUCAUUCAUUAUUAAAACUUGUAUUAUAUAUGAAUAAUAAAUUGUUCUUUGUAAUAUGUAUUAAGCUUGUAUUAUAAAUGAAUUAAAAGUGAUCAAGUGAAAAACAAAAAGUUAUUGCUAUAAAUGGUAAAUAUUUUUUUAUUGUAGCACAUUUAUGUAAGUUCCCCAAUAUAUGACUUCAACCAAUAAUUUGACGCGACAAAACAAUAAUGUAACUAUAGAGAAAUACUCAUAAAAUAUAAAUAACAAUAGCUAACAUGGAAAGAAUUAUUCAAGGAAGACACAAAUAAAAGAAAGUGUGAAUUCAAAGUCAUUGCUAAAUGUUAGUAUUCCAUGUACACUUUUCAAAAACUUGUAACAAGAAAAAUUCUAUGUACACUUGCAGAAGGAAGAAUAAGCGCUAAACAACAACAUAUGCCCAACUAAAAAACUGGGUCAAAAACAAAGAAACAACGAUGAUACAAAGAGAAAAACAAGUAGUACAACAAACGCCAGAGCAAGGGAUCAGAUCGGCGCCAACCUGUGGGUCAAAUCCUAUUAACACAUUACAUCAAAUAGCAAAUGUCUAUGAUAAUCUAUAACUAGGCUUCCAAUAAAGUCACAAGUCACCAGAAAGGAUUAUUCAGGUCACAUUCAACAAAAACAUAAAUUCAAAAACUGACAUAAAAGGUUCCACUAGCAAUUCAAUCUUCACUGAGAGGUUAAACCAUAUAAUAUAACAUUCUUCCUCAGGCAGAAGCUUCAAGGAGUUCCCUUCCAUACCUCUUCACACAGCUUGCUCUACGUCCUCCAUGCUAUAAUCACAAGAAACCAAACAAAAUUUGUAAUCAACACCUUGCAGGAAAAAGAACAAUCAAACAUUGGAACUACAGUCAGUCAGUCUCAUGGUAAAAAUCAAAAUUCACAAGUCUAAAUAAGCACACAACUAUUCCUCCUCAUUGCCGAGUAAGUCGGUAUCAGCUAUAUGUAUCCUUCUUACUAAUCAUGUUUCUCAAAUUAAACUCACCUCAUCCCAACAUUGGUCCAAGAAAAAAAACUGCUCCCUUCGAUUUCCCAAUUUCCUCCCAAGAAAAAUGCCAUACUUGCAAAUAUUUUUCUUUAAACUUCUAACCUUACACUUGAUGAUAUGAUUUCUUUUAUUGUUCUUUAUGAGAUCAUUUAUAACCAAAUAAAUGUUUAUGGUUUGUUUUAGACCAUAAAUAAAGUAAGCAGUAGUAUCAAUGGCAUCAAGAAGAUGCAUAAUUACAAACGAGAGAGAUUGUUACCUCAGUUACAAUGAGUCCUAUGCUAUGUAUAAGGAGCUAACAAAAUCCAAAAGUUUGACAUCAGAGUCCACUGGGGAAAAGCUAUUCCAACUACAUAAAUUUUGAAGACAUCUAGCCUUAAGGGAGUACUUUGGAGUAGAUAUUUCAACAAAACAUCUUCAGUUUCACUCCUUCCAAACACAUCAUAGAUUUUUCCAAGAGAAUCCAACUGAUGUAGUCCUUCAUACUUUCAGGCAUAACUAAGUUUAGUUCAAAAAGUCGAUCAUCCAUUCUAAAACUUCGCACAGUCAAACACGACCACAUACAUUGGUACGGAAGGAGUAUUAAAUUGGAAACCUACUUCUGCUAAAAUUACUAAAAAAUCUCAAGCUUAUGCUGGAAAUGCAGCACUUCCUAUUAAGAACCCCACCAAGAAGAACCUGAGAGAAAUGUUAAUUAUAGCCCUCCACAACAAAGGAGUACCAGGAAGUCAGUCUAUUAGGAUUCAUGAUUAGUUAACAAAGUAAGUUAUGAAAUUUGAAAACCUUGCAGGGUUUUCAAAAUGCCAUGUUUUUUUUUAAAUUUCCCAAAUAACAAAAAUUAGACAUAAAUCAGCUUGAAGGAUAUAACAACAAAGUGCAAAGACAACGAAGACUGAUGGUUCACAAAAGAUAUAUAUGCUGUUCACUUAUAGAAUUGAAUGAGCAACUUCAUGCACUCCCCAAGGAUUUCCCAUGGCUUUUAUAGUAUCAGUCACUUUCUUAUGAAGUUAAAUUCUACAUGAAGCAUAUGUUUGGCCAUGAAUAUUUGUACUUUUUUCCCAGAGUUGAAUUCUGGAAAUCAUGUUAGGCCAUAAAGCUCCGGAAUGCAACUUACUUCCAAAAAAAGUCAAAAUUUGAGAACACCAAGUUCACAAACAACUCCAAUUGAUAUUCAUGGCCAAACACAACUCCAAUUCCCAAAUACCAUUUUUCACUUUGAAAGCAAAUACUGCCUUUUUCCAAAACUCACAAGUUUCAUGGUCAAACGGGUCCUAAUAAUCAUCUUUUUUUUUCAGCAGCUCUACCCUACAAAGGUCGAGGUACGAUUUGCGUACAUCCUAUCCUUCCCAAACCCCACUUGUGGAAUGGCAUGUUGUUGUUGUUAUAAUUUUUUUAAUAAGAUAGCAGUGUAUUCUUCAGUACCAAGAUGGUACUGGCAGUCAAAUAUUUACAGAACAUAAAACAUAUUCUAGAUUACAAGAGUCAAAAAAAAAAUCUACAACUGAUUCAGUAUCCUCUAUAUAGUUCUCUUUACACCGGAAUUCAGAAAACAAAAAACGCCUCCGCUUUAGCAUAUAACAUUACACAGCAAAUCAUAAAGAAAGCUUUCCAUGAAUGACCAGCAUCAAACAGUGAAAACUUUGGUUACAUAAAGUUCCACAUAAAUAAUAGUAGUCCCCUCCCAACUAGCACAUCAUGCUUGAGAAAGCCCUUCAGACAAAGAACAUCCUCCUAAACAGAGAAAUAGCAAAUACAGGUAGUAUUCAUUACCAAAAGCAACUAAUUCAAUGUAAGAGGGGCUGUGAACUUACUUCUUAGUGCUGAGAGACCAGUGCUCCUUAAACAGGAAAAGAGCAUAAACAUGUAUGCAACAGAACAUUUCAGAGAGCAACUGUUUGAUGAACGCAGGAAGAAAAGGAAGCCUCCCAGUAGAAAGCCUGGAUACACAUGGUAAACCCUCAGUAGAUUAGCUACUAAUCGAUCUCAUUGUGAAGUACCCUUGAAAAUAAGCAGCCAAGCCACAGAUCACUCGGACGUUAUACGCCGCCUCUUUCCAUAAUCAGCAUCCCUUGAUCUUGACCGAUGGUCUUCCUCAUGUGAUAAUCGUGAUUUGCUGUGUCCUCUUGAUGAUCUUCCUCUGUCUUCAUCAUCAUAUUCUUGCUCACGGUCCUUGUACCUGUGAUGAUCAGCAUAUCUAUCUCUAUCAUCCCUAUGACGAUCACGAUCUCGAUCCCUCUCGCGAUCACGCCCUCGUUCUCUAGGACGUUCAUGAUCCCGGUCCCUCUCUCUGUCUCGUGCGACAUCUCUAUCAUCGCGGUAUCUUUUCUCUGGCCAAUCCUGGUCGUGGCCCCGAUCCUUUUCACGAGCCAUGUCUCUAUCAUAGGAUGGUUCUCUGCCUUCUCUAUGUUUUCUAUCUGUAGAACCAGACCAAUCACGCUCUGAUCCUCUAUCUUUCUCUUUCACAUUAUUUGGCCAAGCCCCUCUAUCGAGAGUUGUUUCUCCAUACUGAUGAUCAGACCCAGCUUCUUCUGCAUAACUUGACUCUCCUGCUCUACCACCAUGCUCGUCACCAGCCCAUCCACCCGCAUUAGGUUCUGACCACAUCCCCAUGUUAGGCCCAUCCAUACCAGCGCCUGGCAUCAUUCCCAUACCAUUCAUUGGCAUUCCUCUACCAAAGAAUGCAGGAUUUACAUGCGGAGCUACUCCAGGCAUCCCAACUCCUCCAACAGGUGGAAAAGAUGACAACAUACCAGGAAAUGGUGGAGCUGGACCACCAGGAAAUCCUCCAUAACCACCCAUUCUCCCCAUAGGCCCUCCAAAAGCAGGAUCAAAGCCUUGACCCAUCAUUGUUUGAGGAUGCAUAAUAGGAGGUGCACCACCCAUACCUUGUCCAAAUCCACCUCCACCGUUACCCAUCAUACCCCUACCUGCAAUCCCACCAGGCCUGUUUC
Molecule: long non-coding RNA, 6364 nt
Filed under: Solanum melongena (eggplant)
Lineage: Eukaryota; Viridiplantae; Streptophyta; Magnoliopsida; Solanales; Solanaceae
Description: long non-coding RNA (SMEL_LNC000153)
Source: RNAcentral